GAUGAACGCUGGCGGCGUGCCUAAUACAUGCAAGUCGAGCGAACGGACGAGAAGCUUGCUUCUCUGAUGUUAGCGGCGGACGGGUGAGUAACACGUGGAUAACCUACCUAUAAGACUGGGAUAACUUCGGGAAACCGGAGCUAAUACCGGAUAAUAUUUUGAACCGCAUGGUUCAAAAGUGAAAGACGGUCUUGCUGUCACUUAUAGAUGGAUCCGCGCUGCAUUAGCUAGUUGGUAAGGUAACGGCUUACCAAGGCAACGAUGCAUAGCCGACCUGAGAGGGUUAUCGGCAACCUGGGAACUGGGACAGGGUCAAGACUCCUACGGGAGGCAGCAGUAGGGAACCUUCGGCAAUGGGGGAAAGCCUGACGGAGCAAGGCGGCGUGAGUGAUGAAGGUCUUCGGUUCGUAAAACUCUGUUAUUAGGGAAGAACAUAUGUGUAAGUAAAUGUGCACAUCUUGACGGUACCUAAUCAGAAAGCCACGGCUAACUACGUG
RNAcentral lists this ribosomal RNA (497 nucleotides) under uncultured bacterium. Its description in RNAcentral is "partial 16S ribosomal RNA". It matches the Rfam family "Bacterial small subunit ribosomal RNA", at positions 28 to 507 of the family's 1533-position model. The record is from RNAcentral.